UUUUGGACAAUGGGCGCAAGCCUGAUCCAGCCAUGCCGCGUGAGUGAAGAAGGCCUUCGGGUUGUAAAGCUCUUUCGGCGGGGACGAAACGGUUCGUGCUAAUACCACGGACUACUGACGGUACCCGCAGAAGAAGCACCGGCUAACUACGUGCCAGCAGCCGCGGUAAUACGUAGGGUGCAGGCGUUAAUCGGAAUUACUGGGCGAAAGCGUGCGCAGGCGGUUUGUUAAGACAGGUGUGAAAUCCCCGCGCUAACGUGGAACUGCAUUUAAACUGGCAAGCAGAGUCUUGAAGGGGGGAGAUUCCAGGUGAGCGGUAAAUGCGAAGUCUGGGGAAUCCGGUGGCGAGGGGCCCCCUGGCAAACUGCGUAAGGCAAUCGAUCUU
RNAcentral lists this ribosomal RNA (385 nucleotides) under uncultured bacterium. RNAcentral's name for it is "bacterial SSU rRNA". It matches the Rfam family "Bacterial small subunit ribosomal RNA", at positions 362 to 762 of the family's 1533-position model. The record is from RNAcentral.